This 223-nucleotide ribosomal RNA is filed under the name uncultured Paracoccaceae bacterium. Its description in RNAcentral is "uncultured Rhodobacteraceae bacterium partial 16S ribosomal RNA". It matches the Rfam family "Bacterial small subunit ribosomal RNA", at positions 1138 to 1382 of the family's 1533-position model. Lineage: Bacteria; Pseudomonadati; Pseudomonadota; Alphaproteobacteria; Rhodobacterales; Paracoccaceae. The record is from RNAcentral.
CUCUAGGAGAACUGCCGGUGAUAAGCCGGAGGAAGGUGUGGAUGACGUCAAGUCCUCAUGGCCCUUACGGGUUGGGCUACACACGUGCUACAAUGGUGGUGACAAUGGGUUAAUCCCAAAAAGCCAUCUCAGUUCGGAUUGGGGUCUGCAACUCGACCCCAUGAAGUCGGAAUCGCUAGUAAUCGCGUAACAGCAUGACGCGGUGAAUACGUUCCCGGGCCUU